AAAAAGGCAUAUUGAUUGACUUUAAGGGACAAGUGUUGAAAUGUAUACAUUAUUUUCCUUCACACUCUAAUGACUAGAACUUAGUAAUGUGGCCAGAUAUAACUGCAGAGCUAGCCAAGAAGUCACAAAGAUACAUAGCACCCAGCUAGAAAAUGAUGCAAGUCAAUGAGUAUUCAUGGAUGGUAGAGAUGUGAAAGAGGAUAUCAAUAAUGGAGGUUUUGUUUGUUUUGUUAAUUAAACUUUGAAUGUCUAUAUAAAAGUUCAAGAUUUCUGAUUUCAGCUGACAUUUAAAGGAUUUGGAAGUUAUCCUUGGCCUUAUAAUGGUGGAUAGAGAUCACUUUUUUCUUAGAUCUGUGAAAGAAUUGAAGUCACAGGGUAGAUUGCUGCUCUGAAUUCUGGAGACAAAAGGAAAUGCAGAUCAUAACAGCCAAGAUCUGCUUAUUUAGAACAAAAAUCACUGGAGCCAUAAAUUGUUAAGAACAAUUAUUUUGAUGAAUUGCUGAAAGUUGAAGUGGCUUGGGUGUAAGAAAUUUCAGGGGCCCAGCCUUAAAGGGACCUCCACACUUUCAUGAGUAUUUGCAAGGGAGGGGUCUGAGACAAAUUCCUCUGUGGCAAAGGGGAAGAGAGAGAAAGUGACCUUUAUGAAAUUAGACUCAGCAUGUUUUUAUUACCAGACCUUGUCUACUUGAGAGAAGGGCACUUAGCCAAUACCAGCCUUUCUAGCCUUUCUGUCUAGCUAAAGGAGAAGAAGACUUAAAAAUGCAUCUGAAGCCAGGCACAGUGGCAUACCUUUAAUCCCUGCAGCUCAGGAGGCUGAGGCAGGAGGAUCACAAGUUCAAAGCCAGCCUCAGCAAUGGCAAGGCACUAAGCAACUCAGGGAGACCCUGUCCCUAAAUAAAAUAAAAAAGGGGGGUGCUGGGGAUUUGACUCAGUGGUUGAGUGUCCCUGAGUUCAAUCCCCCUGGUACCCCACCCCACCCCAAAAAAAAACCCUUCCG
RNAcentral lists this long non-coding RNA (997 nucleotides) under Marmota monax (woodchuck). Lineage: Eukaryota; Metazoa; Chordata; Mammalia; Rodentia; Sciuridae. The record is from RNAcentral.